ACACGGAUCUGAUCUGUUCCAGCUUCAAUCAAUUCCUUUGCAGUUGAUCAUUCAUGAGUCACAUUGUAUUCCAGGCACUGCCAGGCAGUAUUGGGAAGUG
Thalassophryne amazonica is the source of this 100-nucleotide long non-coding RNA. RefSeq lists it as uncharacterized. Lineage: Eukaryota; Metazoa; Chordata; Actinopteri; Batrachoidiformes; Batrachoididae. The transcript is spliced from 3 exons. The record is from RefSeq and is a predicted model, not a curated record.